UGAACAAGUUUGUGUUUCUUCGGUGUAACGGUGCGAGUUUGUUAAACAGUUCCGUGUUUUAAAGGACAUUUGCGUUGUUACAGGAAGGUUUUAUUCUCCUGACUGAACUCCUGAAGGUUUAUUUGUAGCAGAUCUGCCAGCGCAGAGUUGGUUUGACCGAUCGGAGAUGAAGUGUGUUUGGGUGAUUCUGUUCCUCCACUGGUCUCUCUCAGGAGCUCAGAGGUUUAAUGUGGAGGGUCCAGAUACUGUUUUUGCUGCUCCUGGUUCUGACAUCGUUCUGCCGUGUUCCAUCAAACCCACCAUGAGUGCUGUGGACAUGGAAGUGAAGUGGAGCAGACAGGAUCUAGGAGACAUCCUGGUGCACCACUAUAUGAAUAAUUCAGACAAGAAUGAUGGACAGAUGCCUUCAUACAGAGGGAGAACAGCUCUGUUUAUAGAGCAGCUACAGUAUGGCAACACCUCACUGCUACUGAAGAACGUUGAAGUGUCUGAUGGAGGACAGUACACAUGUCGUGUUGAUUCUGCCAAAUGGGACGGUCAAGUCCGUGUUCUACUGAAAAUUGAAGCUGUUGGAAGAACCCCAGAGAUCACUGUACUGGGCACUGCCUCAGGUGGGGUUCUUCUACAGUGUGACUCUAAGGGCUGGUGGCCUGUACCUGAACUCCAGUGGCUGGACAGUAAAGGAGUAGAAGUGCCUGCUGGAGUAAAAGAGUCAUGUGAAGAUGGUGAAGGGUUUUAUGUGAGACGCCGCCUCACUGCACACAGCAGUGACACCAACACCUACAUCUGCAGAGUAAAAUAGGGGCAGAACGUGAUGGAGGAAAAGAUCGACAUCACUGGUGAUUUACACUACUGGAAAACAUCACUGGUAAUUUACACUACUGGAAAACAUCACUGGUGAUUUACACUACUGGAAAACAUCAAUGGUGAUUUACACUACUGGAAAACAUCACUGGUAAUUUACACUACUGGAAAACAUCACUGGCGAUUUACACUACUGGAAAACAUCAAUGGUGAUUUACACUACUGGAAAACAUCACUGGUGAUUUACACUACUGAAGUACAUCACUGGUAAUUUGCACUAAUGGAAAACAUCUGAUCACUUGCCCAGGGACUAUACAGCAGCCAUCGUUGUUCCAGUUGUACUGAUCCUGCUCUCAGCACUCG
Non-coding RNA from Electrophorus electricus (electric eel), 1167 nucleotides. The record is from RefSeq and is a predicted model, not a curated record. NCBI's taxonomy places the organism in Eukaryota, Metazoa, Chordata, Actinopteri, Gymnotiformes, Gymnotidae.